Long non-coding RNA from Loxodonta africana (African savanna elephant), 1925 nucleotides. RefSeq lists it as uncharacterized. The record is from RefSeq and is a predicted model, not a curated record. NCBI's taxonomy places the organism in Eukaryota, Metazoa, Chordata, Mammalia, Proboscidea, Elephantidae. The transcript is spliced from 5 exons.
GGUGGGGGCAGCGGCCCGUGAUUCACACGUGGACCUAGAGUGUAGACACGCCUCCGAGCCUUGGGAGGGUGGAGGAGCUGGUUGAGGGGUGGGAAUGGGCAGGCGUGAGGAGUGGGAACCUGGGGGCUGCUGCCUUCUCCAUAGCGGCCUGGAUUGGGGCGUGAGCUGGACUCGCAUUUGGAGGAGGGGGGUGAGCUGGACUCGCAUUUGGAGGAAGAGUGAGGAUGCGCCCCUGGGCUUGGGUGGGGGAGGGCUGAAGGAGCCCAGGGAGUGGGGUGAGAGGUGGUCAUGUGGGGGUGUCUGCUGCCCUGGCUGGGGCGGUAAGCAAGCACAGAGGGAGGUGGGGAAGGCAAACUGCCAGCUACUUGCAUGUCCAGGCAGAAUGGAGACUCUUUUGUCUCCCCUCUCCGCCCUCCUCCCUCCCCACGAAGGCCCAGGAUUUGGGGAGCAUGGUGGAGGCACUGGAAGGAUGUGAGGUAAUACCUGGGGGCAGCAGUCCUGGUGGAGAGGGACAAUGCUGGCUCUCUGGAAGGAAGGGAGGCAUGUUUGUAGCCAAACAGGUUGUGGACGCCUGAGCUUUUUUUUGCCAGCACUCCCAAUCUUAAGCAAGGGUAUGGAUGCUCUCUAGAAAGCCCCCCUGCCAGGCUUGCUUCCCCUUACCCCCUUUCUUCUCAUUCCCCUGAAGGAUUCUGCCUCCCACGCAAGAGAAAUCAAUUAAAUGGAAAAAGAAGAUGUGCAAGAUUUUUGAUAAGUAUCGCCCUUGGAUGGAGAAGAGGAAUGAAUGACUCCCUCCCACCCCACACCACCCCACAGCUCUGAAAUGACUUCUCUUUCUUAGGCAGCUGCACACUGUUACCAUUCCAGGAUUGUAUGGCAGAAGACUAUUGCGCUCUUGUGUCUCUCCUCGCAGGCAGCACCAGCCCCUGGCUAAUAAAAGAAUUGGAGAGUCUUUUCUCUACAAUAUUUGGCAGAGUCUUGGUGGGAUUCGGUGACGUCUUCCCCAGUGGACCAGGAGGAGCUGAAAAACCAGAGUUAGGCACUGACAAGCUCCUGCUGUCUCGGACCCCUUGGGACCUGUCCAGACGAAGGAGCUGUGAUGUAUGGCCUGCCCAUGGAGAGACUUAUGUGACAAAGACCUGAGGGAGGGUCCUGAUCAACAGACAGAGAGGGAGUGAGGCCCUCCAGACCAACAGCUCACAGAGUCCUGCUCAUAACAUGGAAGUGAGUAGGGAGCAGAUCCUCCCCAGUCAAGACUCAGUUGAGACCACAACCACAGGGUCCUGAGAACUUGGGGCAGUCACCAGAUUGUGACCUCCUGGGGACAGGGACGUCGUGGAUCCUUUUCAGAACCAGCCCCUGGAUCACCUGCUGAUGUUGAUCCUGCCCCUGUGCUAACGCUGGAGCUCCAUAGUGCACCAACUAUUCCGUCACCAAUAUCAGAUGGACAGACAGCUGGAGGGAGUGAAAACAAUAACAAGAGGAAAACAUUGGAAUUCUUCACUUUUAACUGGAUCUGACAAAUUACCAGAGGAUACAAGGUAAAAGUAACUUUUAAAACACGUGCAUUUUUGACAAAUACUAAGUCAUAAAUGGACUGACCGCUUGCUUGUUGGCUGCUGUAGGAAGUGUUAUCUUUUUAAUGUGUGAAUGUUUUCAGUCAUAAACCUAUUAAAGUUUGCUUAGUUUAUUAGGAGUAAAUCUUACAAUAAUCUGUAUUUUUGCUCCUAAGGUUAAUAAAUACAAUGUCUUAUUAAAAAUAAUAUUUCAUGACUAUUACAGGCUGUGUUUUCACUGCUUAACUACCUCACAACUCUCCAGACACUAAGUAGCACCUAAUUAAAAUUCUGUUGACAAUAAAUUAUUUGCAUAUUUAAUUUUUCAUGGGGCUGGUAAAUAUUUUAUUUUCAACAUUAAUAUAUUCUUGA